AACACAGAAUGGAGACUUUUGGGAAUGAGAAGUAAAGAAGACGAAAUUAUUUUGUAGAAAAUGUAAUAAACUGUUGUAGAAUAUUACAUGACAUGAUACAUACAAUAGAAUAGAGGAUGAUAUCUUAGAAGCCUAAAUCUUAAUACUUAAGAGUGAUGUGAUAUCAUAUCCUAGUAGUGUUCUUGGCCCAGCAACCACAACCAUCCAAAGAGAAAAAAUCAAAGAUAUAGAAAAGUCAAAAGCCACCAUUUCCAAGCCAACCAUUACCAUUCAAUUAACAUGGAAAAAAAAAAGAAAAAAACCCUCAAAAAUCAAACCCACCAGCAUCAUCAAAUCCUGAAGCAUCAGACACCAUAUCUCCAAUCAAAAGCCCACCAAUAGCUCCUCCUAGCAAUCCAGCCCCGAGGCCCAUCCCAAAUUUAUUCUUCUUUUGCGGCUGCUGCCCUUGCACUGGCGGUGGGUACCCAUACCCCCCUUGAACAGGUGGUGGGUACCCAUACCCCCCUUGAGCAGGUGGAUAUCCAUAUCCAGGUGGCGGCGGUGGGUAUCCAUAACCUGGUGGUGGAGGCGGUGGGUAUCCGCCAUAUGGUGGUGGAGGUGGAUAUCCAUAUCCAGGUGGGGGUGGUGGAUAUGAGCCAGGUCCACCAUAAGGAACAGAGGUAGGCCCCGCAGGAUAUGCAGCGACAGGUUGACUGUUGGAAUUAGUUACCUUCGCUGCUGAUGAUGAUGCUUCAGGAGCUUCAGGAACCACUACUUUCUCAAUCUCACCGAACUUAAAAGAAAAGUUAAUCUCACCUUUAGGUUUCCCUGAUGGUUUCCUUACCUGAUAGCUAACAAACUUCAUGGAUUUACCAUCGCCAGCUGAAUCCAAAAGCUCCUUUAUUGGCACGUUGACUUCACCAAUAUCUUUAUCCCCUAAAGCACGCUCACAUUUAAGCUUGCAAACAAGACUCAGACGGUUUUCUGCAAGUGAGGUUUCAGGGAUAGUGAAUUUUAUAGGGAAGUUCCAAGUGGGGUUUUUUCCACCAGCUCUAUCUACUGGGGUUUUGUUUUUUUGCUUGGGUUUUUGUUUUGAGUCAACACCAGAGAUUGAAACAACAGCAUACACAUCCAUUUUGGAGAUAUAAUUGACAUCGUUGAGAUCUCUUGCAGAGAUGACAUUGAUCUCUAAGGUUCUUUGAUCCAUGGAUAUAGAGAGAGAGGAGGAGGAGGAGGAGGCGGAGGAGAGAGAGAGUUUGGUGUGAGUUACGAUGGCAAUUUGCAAGUAACUUGGCAACCUCCGCUGAUGGGUUUGCAUACAAAUUUUGAGUGCAAAAGACGGCCCGAUGUGGUCAACUCUCGGGGUUUGUGGGUUGAGAGUAACCAUGGUUAGAUGUAGAUGGAAAGUUGAUCUAAUAAAUUAUUAACCAUAGUUAAUGACUUUGUAUUUUGUAAGGUUAUAUCGUGAAAUACGAUUAGAUCGUUGUUU
This 1468-nucleotide long non-coding RNA is filed under the name Populus tremula. Its description in RNAcentral is "long non-coding RNA (PTRE_LNC000532)". Lineage: Eukaryota; Viridiplantae; Streptophyta; Magnoliopsida; Malpighiales; Salicaceae. The record is from RNAcentral.